UGAUAGUGAUGAGGACAAAUCCUGAUCAUACCUUUAACUCUUUACCAGACUUGGUAAAGAUUCGCUCCUUCUUUCAGCCUAAAACUCAGAAUCUCAUUUCUUAACCG
Capsicum annuum is the source of this 107-nucleotide non-coding RNA. The record is from Rfam. Lineage: Eukaryota; Viridiplantae; Streptophyta; Magnoliopsida; Solanales; Solanaceae.